This 1335-nucleotide ribosomal RNA is filed under the name uncultured bacterium. RNAcentral's name for it is "bacterial SSU rRNA". It matches the Rfam family "Bacterial small subunit ribosomal RNA". The record is from RNAcentral.
AGAGUUUGAUCAUGGCUCAGAACGAACGCUGGCGGCAUGCCUCAUACAUGCAAGUCGAACGAGGUCUUCGGACCUAGUGGCGCACGGGUGAGUAACAUGUGGGAAUCUACCUAAAGGUUCGGAAUAACUGCGGGAAACUGUAGCUAAUACCGGAUGUGUCUGCAAAGAGAAAGAUUUAUCGCCUUUAGAUGAGCCCGCACUAGAUUAGCUAGUUGGUGAGGUAAUUGCUCCACCAAGGCUACGAUCUAUAGCUGAUUUGAGAGGAUGAUCAGCCACACUGGGACUGAGACACGGCCCAGACUCCUACGGGAGGCAGCAGUAGGGAAUAUUGGACAAUGGGGGAAACCCUGAUCCAGCAAUGCCGCGUGAGUGAAGAAGGCCCUCGGGUUGUAAAACUCUUUCAUCAAUGAUGAUAAUGACAUUAGUUGAAGAAGAAGCUCCGGCUAACUUCGUGCCAGCAGCCGCGGUAAUACGAAGGGGGCUAGCGUUGUUCGGAAUCACUGGGCGUAAAGCGUAUGUAGGCGGAUCAAAAAGUUAGAUGUGAAAUCCCUGGGGCUCAACCCAGGAACUGCAUUUAAAACUAGUGAUCUAGAAUUUGGUAAGGGUUAGUAGAAUUUCCAGUGUAGAGGUGAAAUUCGUAGAUAUUGGAAAGAAUACCAGAAGCGAAGGCGACUAACUAGGCCAUUUUUGACGCUGAGAUACGAAAGCGUGGGUAGCAAACAGGAUUAGAUACCCUGGUAGUCCACGCAGUAAACGAUGAGUGCUAGUCGCUGGUACAAUAGUAUCAGUGUCGUAGCUAACGCAUUAAGCACUCCGCCUGGGAAGUACGGUCGCAAGAUUAAAACUCAAAUAAAUUGACGGGGGCCCGCACAAGCGGUGGAGCAUGUGGUUUAAUUCGAAGCAACGCGAAGAACCUUACCAGACCUUGACAUGGUAUGUUUGAAUUACAGAAUCGUAAUUCUUCAGUUCGGCUGGCAUACACACAGGUGCUGCAUGGCUGUCGUCAGCUCGUGUCGUGAGAUGUUGGGUUAAGUCCCGCAACGAGCGCAACCCUCAUUUUUAGUUGCCAUCAGGUUAUGCUGGGCACUCUAGAAAAACUGCCGGUGAUAAGCUGGAGGAAGGCGGGGAUGACGUCAAGUCCUCAUGGCCCUUACGGUCUGGGCUACACACGUGCUACAAUGGUGGUGACAGAGGGCAGCAAUAUCGCAAGAUAAAGCUAAUCCCAAAAAACCAUCUCAGUUCGGAUUGGACUCUGCAACUCGAGUCCAUGAAGUUGGAAUCGCUAGUAAUCGUAGAUCAGCGUGCUACGGUGAAUACGUUCUCGGGCCUUGUAGA